Molecule: ribosomal RNA, 102 nt
Filed under: Vibrio parahaemolyticus
Lineage: Bacteria; Pseudomonadati; Pseudomonadota; Gammaproteobacteria; Vibrionales; Vibrionaceae
Description: partial 16S ribosomal RNA
Rfam family: Bacterial small subunit ribosomal RNA
Source: RNAcentral
CUUAAAUUGAAGAGUUUGAUCAUGGCUCAGAUUGAACGCUGGCGGCAGGCCUAACACAUGCAAGUCGAGCGGAAACGAGUUGUCUGAACCUUCGGGGAACGA